Molecule: transfer RNA, 82 nt
Filed under: Pseudoxanthomonas indica
Lineage: Bacteria; Pseudomonadati; Pseudomonadota; Gammaproteobacteria; Lysobacterales; Lysobacteraceae
Source: RNAcentral
GCCCAGGUGGCGGAAUUGGUAGACGCACUACCUUGAGGUGGUAGCGGCGAAAGCUGUAGGGGUUCGAGUCCCCUCUUGGGCA